RNAcentral lists this ribosomal RNA (776 nucleotides) under uncultured Neocallimastigales. RNAcentral describes it as "partial large subunit ribosomal RNA". It matches the Rfam family "Eukaryotic large subunit ribosomal RNA", at positions 23 to 639 of the family's 3401-position model. Lineage: Eukaryota; Fungi; Neocallimastigomycota; Neocallimastigomycetes; Neocallimastigales. The record is from RNAcentral.
GAGAGAGAGACAUGCGCGCAUAUCAAUAAGCGGAGGAAAAGAAACUAACAAGGAUUCCCUUAGUAACGGCGAGUGAAGCGGGAAGAGCUCAAAUUUGAAAUCUUCAAGGUUUUACCUUGACGAAUUGUAGUUUAAAGAAGUGUUUUCUGCUGAAGUUUUGGUAAAAGUUCUUUGGAAUAGGACAUCAUAGAGGGUGAGAAUCCCGUAUUUGACCAUUAUUUUCAGCUUUGUGAUACACUUUCAAAGAGUCGGAUUGUUUGGGAAUGCAGUCCAAAAUGGGUGGUAAAUUUCAUCUAAAGCUAAAUAUUGGCGAGAGACCGAUAGCGAACAAGUACCGUGAGGGAAAGAUGAAAAGAACUUUGAAAAGAGAGUUAAACAGUACGUGAAAUUGUCAAAAGGGAAGCGUUUGACACCAGUGUUGGUUUCUCGAAAAUCAAUUAAAAAAGGCAGGAUUUUGUGUUGUAUUGACUUUAUCAGCUUUCCGCACUCUUUUCUUGUCUUUUUUUAAUGCACUUUUCGUUUAACAAGUCAACAUCAAUUUCUUUUGUUGUAAAAGGGUCAUUGGAAGGUGGCUUUCUUUUCGGAGAAAGUGUUUAUAGCCUUUGGCCUCUGCAAUCGAAGAGACUGAGGUCUGCAGCGUAGACUCUUCGGGGUUAGAUACAUUUGUGCUAAGUUAUAGCUUUUUAUAGACAACUUGUUGACUAUAAUUAGUCUUGUAGCUUACUCGCUUACGCUAUUUUACCUACGCUUAGGAUGUUGAAGAUGUAGCACAUCAU